UACGUAGGGGGCGAGCGUUGUCCGGAUUUAUUGGGCGUAAAGAGCUCGUAGGCGGUUCGAUAAGUCGGACGUGAAAUCUCCACGCUCAACGUGGAGGGGCCGUUCGAUACUGUCGUGACUCGAGUCCGGUAGGGGAGUGUGGAAUUCCCGGUGUAGCGGUGAAAUGCGCAGAGAUCGGGAGGAACACCGGUGGCGAAGGCGGCCAUCUGGACCGGAACUGACGCUGAGGCGCGAAAGCGUGGGGAGCAAACAGG
RNAcentral lists this ribosomal RNA (254 nucleotides) under uncultured bacterium. RNAcentral's name for it is "partial 16S ribosomal RNA". It matches the Rfam family "Bacterial small subunit ribosomal RNA", at positions 524 to 776 of the family's 1533-position model. The record is from RNAcentral.